This 520-nucleotide ribosomal RNA is filed under the name uncultured Entrophospora. Its description in RNAcentral is "SSU rRNA". It matches the Rfam family "Eukaryotic small subunit ribosomal RNA", at positions 569 to 1076 of the family's 1831-position model. The record is from RNAcentral. Lineage: Eukaryota; Fungi; Glomeromycota; Glomeromycetes; Entrophosporales; Entrophosporaceae.
AGCAGCCGCGGUAAUUCCAGCUCCAAUAGCGUAUAUUAAAGUUGUUGCAGUUAAAAAGCUCGUAGUUGAAUUUCGGGAUUGGCGCAUCGGUCGUGCCUUACGGGGUAUGAACUGGUGCAGUCAAUUUCUCACCUUCUGGAGAACCGCGAUGUCCUUAAUUGGGUGCCGCGGGGAACCAGGACCUUUACUUUGAAAAAACUUAGAGUGUUUAAAGCAGGCAUUUUUGCUUGAAUACAUUAGCAUGGAAUAAUAAAAGUAGGACGGCAUGGUUCUAUUUUGUUGGUUUCUAGGACCACCGUAAUGAUUAAUAGGGGAUAGUUGGGGGGCAUUAGUAUUCAAUUGUCAGAGGUGAAAUUCUUGGAUUUAUUGAAGACUAACUACUGCGAAAGCAUUUUGCCAAGGAUGUUUUCAUUAAUCAAGAACGAAAGUUAGGGGAUCGAAGACGAUCAGAUACCGUCGUAGUCUUAACCAUAAACUAUGCCGACUAGGGAUCGGAUGAUGUUAAUUUUUUUCAAUGACU